Molecule: ribosomal RNA, 256 nt
Filed under: uncultured bacterium
Lineage: Bacteria
Description: partial 16S ribosomal RNA
Rfam family: Bacterial small subunit ribosomal RNA
Source: RNAcentral
UAAUACGGAGGGUGCAAGCGUUAUCCGGAAUUAUUGGGUUUAAAGGGUCCGUAGGCGGCUAGAUAAGUCAGUGGUGAAAUCCUGCAGCUCAACUGUAGCAUUGCCAUUGAUACUGUUUAGCUUGAAUAUGAUUGAAGUGGGCGGAAUAUGACAUGUAGCGGUGAAAUGCAUAGAUAUGUCAUAGAACACCGAUUGCGAAGGCAGCUCACUAAGUCACAAUUGACGCUGAUGGACGAAAGCGUGGGGAUCAAACAGG